Phanerochaete sordida is the source of this 81-nucleotide non-coding RNA. The record is from the annotation of a GenBank genome assembly. NCBI's taxonomy places the organism in Eukaryota, Fungi, Basidiomycota, Agaricomycetes, Polyporales, Phanerochaetaceae.
GGGAUGAUCUACAUCGGCAUGUAAGUGUAUCUGCUAAAUACUGGAUUAAUUCCAUUGAAGGUUCGAAUCCUUCUCAUCCCG